Molecule: ribosomal RNA, 456 nt
Filed under: uncultured bacterium
Lineage: Bacteria
Description: bacterial SSU rRNA
Rfam family: Bacterial small subunit ribosomal RNA
Source: RNAcentral
UACGGAAGGCAGCAGUGGGGAAUAUUGCACAAUGGGCGAAAGCCUGAUGCAGCUAUGCCGCGUGUAUGAAGAAGGCCUUAGGGUUGUAAAGUACUUUCAUCGGGGAGGAAAAAACAAAACUAAUAAUUUUAUUUCUUGACGUUACCCGAAAAAGAAGCACCGGCUAACUCCGUGCCAGCAGCCGCGGUAAUACGGAGGGUGCUAGCGUUAAUCAGAAUUACUGGGCGUAAAGAGCACGUAGGUGGUUUUUUAAGUCAGAUGUGAAAUCCCUGGGCUUAACCUGGAACUGCAUUUUGAAACUGAAAUACUAGAGUAUCGUAGAGGGAGGUAGAAUUCUAGGUGUAGCGGUGAAAUGCGUAGAUAUCUGGAGGAAUACCUGUGGCGAAAGCGGCCUCCUAAACGAAUACUGACACUGAGGGUGCGAAAGCGUGGGGAGCGAAACAGGGAUUAGAUACC